This is a long non-coding RNA of Rhineura floridana, 735 nucleotides long. RefSeq lists it as uncharacterized. The record is from RefSeq and is a predicted model, not a curated record. NCBI's taxonomy places the organism in Eukaryota, Metazoa, Chordata, Lepidosauria, Squamata, Rhineuridae. The transcript has 3 exons.
UUUACAGUACACUCCAGUUAGUGCCAUAUAUAUGGAUGUUUGUGUCUACCUUUAAGAAAUAUAGUUACUCUCAUUGAAACCAGCAUCAUAUACCUUUCAGAAUUCAGAAACUAUCCUCCCUUCAGUUAAGUGGCUAUACCAACAUGAGUGGGUGUGCUCUUUAUCUUUUUUUUUAAGAGCCAGCUGCUUUUAAGAAUUUAGUUUGUUACAUUGAUGAGAUACCAGCUUGUUAUUUGCACAAGCAUAUGCCGGGUACUCAUUUUACCGACCACGGAUGGAUGGAAGGCUGAGUGGACCUCGACCCCUUUUACUGGAGAUUCGACUUCCUCCUUCCGUUGGAAUCGAACUCUGGCCAUGAGCAGAGCUUCGUCUGCGUUACCGCUGCUUACCACUCCGCGCCACGGAGGAUCUUAGUGCUUGGGACUGACUAAUCUGGCUGUUUGGCCUCCUGAAGACUUUGUAUUUAAGGUGCUUGUAUGGAUAUGGUGAUUUCUAAUGAGAUUCUCAGCCAUGACUUGUGCUGGGAACUAUAAUUCCCAGGGGAGAGUCUGAGAAGGACCACCGUCAAGCACAAGCACCAACAUUACACAGGCCUAAGGAGAACUCCCUGAAACAGAUGAGCUUUUUCUGAACUCCCAUAAAGAAAGCCUGUAAAUAAUUAACAUAUUUGGACCCUGAUUUAUACAUGAAUCAGUUUUAUUUACUUUUAUAUGUUUUUAUACUGUUUUAUUGAUU